GAGGAGCUAGCUUGAGGGAGCUUGGAGCUCAACCCCUUUCUCUCUUUUCCACCUUUGCAAGGCUUGGAGCUUGCUUGUAGAGCUUAGUGGUGGACCAAACUUCAACCCUAGGGCAUUUUGAGCUUGGAUUGAAGCUUCCAAAGGGUUAGUAUCAUGUUUCCCUCCUCUAGAUUCUUGUUUUUGUGAUUUUUGGGAGAUGAAACCCUAGAAAUGAGAUUUAGGGUUUAUUUUGGGCAUUUUUGAUCUAGGGCUUUUGGACCCAAAUUGAUUGGUUUAGAACCUUCCUAGGGCUUGGAUUGGAAGGGUUCUAGCUCUCUUUUGGAGCUUUGGAAGAGAUUUCUACUCUUGAGGUGAGUUUUGGCCCUUUUUGCUUCUAGGUUAAUGUUUGAUCUUAUGGUUGGUCGUAAUGCCCUCGUAUCUCUUCGCUGAUUACUUUUAGGGUAUUUUGAGACUCGGGGACAACUUUGUUCGGCGAAACGAGGCCCUACGCGACGGUUCGGUGGGUUUGACCUAGCCACACAAUGAGAAAUUCUCAUUUGUGCUUAAUUAAGUGUUGUUAAAUGAAAAAGCAUGCAUAUUCUUGUUAUAUGUAUUUAUUGUGAAUUUUAGAAUGCUUAAAAGGCCUAUGUUAUAUAUGAUGAAAUUUUGGACCUCUAUGUAGUAGAGAGUAGCUUAUUAGGCCAUAGUUGCAUUUAGCAUUCUAUAUGAGACGUGGUAUCAUGCUUCUAUAGUAUAAAUGAGUUCGGAUUCAUGCAUUUAAACCUAAGUUACUUGUGACAUGAAAAUUGACAAGAUUGUCAUUUAGAAGCUAUGUGAAUUAGAGAGCUAAUGUCAUCAAGCGGCAUUGAGCUCGGGACAUGUGUGAACCUAGUGGAUAGGGCCAUUGAGGGAUUUGGAAAACAUGUUGAACAUUAAAUUGCCUAAGUGUCAUUAAGGGGCACUAGGCGUAGCAAAUGUUGAAACUUCACAUUGUGACUUGAACUAGAUCUUCGGGAUGCUAGUGACUAUACCAUGUUAGAGACAUGAGGAUUGGAUACUUGAGACUUGGACUUUGCUUGCUUGCCAUUUGUGCUCAUUCGCACAUGCUUGUGAGGGUCGCUCCCUACAAGCCGGCACUCCGGAGUUAGCCUAUGCGACUUAUGUUCGCUCGUGCGGUAUUGAGAAGCCUACGGGGUCGAGUGGGACAGACACAUUCCAAGAGUAGGGAUGUUGGGCUACCACAGGCACUUAGGCGGCACAAGCUGGACUACCUUUGGUAGGUCCUUAAUUGGAAAUGAAAAUCGACACGGUGUUGUAUAUGAACAAUCACUACUAGAUAGGAUUAGUAGUUGGAUCACUUGGAUACGCUCAUGAUAUAGCAUUGGUACAUUUAGUAUACUUGCUGGCUUCAUUAUUGCAUCGUAGUAUACUUGGUUGUUUGGAUAGAGUUUACCCUUAUGCAUUGACAUAUUGCAUCGUGAGAUUUACUUGUUGAGACAUAUUAGUAUGCAGUGGACAUAUUACCUUGUGAUAGCGUAGAUGUACAUCACAUAGCAUCUGCUUACUUGAGACAUAUGGGUUAGCACUUCAUUUAUGCUUUCUUACCGUGUUACUAUUAUCUUUAUUGCUAAUAAUAUCUUGUACUUACCCUUGUUUUUGGGGCCUAGUGGAGCAGGAGCUGAUGUCAGUAAUUGCCCACUGGGAACUAUAAAUUAUAGUUCUCACGCCCUCUUUUUCUGGAUGUUUUUCAGAGCCUUCCACUCAGGGUUAGGCCAGGGAUCGUGGGAAGGGCGUUGCUUCGAGCUAGCUUCCUUUGAGGACGAGUUGCUAGGUGGUCCACCUCUCGAUUUAUAUUUCUUUUUGCGAGAGGUUGAGGAGUUUACCAGUGUACUAGAGACCACCAUUUUUGUACUAGAAACAAAUAUUGUAUAACUUAUGUUUACUCUUAUGUAUUAGUCAUGUUCUAUUACUUUUAGUAUAGAUGUUAGAACUUUACUCGUUCUGAUAUCAUUAGUUGCCUGUUAUUUCACUUCUUUUAUUUGUUCCAUCUCUUACUUUUACUUCCGCUUUUCUUGUAAACGCCUUAUAUGUGUAGACAUAUGGCGGGUCUGGGCACGCUACCGGGAGGGCCUCCGCCGGUCCCGGGGCGNCGCCCACCUCCUUGCCGACCCUUGCGCCGCUGAGGCCUUCGUGCCGAGGCCACCCGCUCCGAGGCCGCUUGCUCCUCGACUCGAAGCCGCGCCACCCGCGGCCGAUCUGCCUGAAGCCCCGCCACCCGCGGCCGAUACUUUCGAAGCCGCGCCACCCGCGGCAGGUCCGCCCGAAGCCACGCAGAGGCUCCGUCGAAGUCGCCGUCACCCGAAGCCGCGCCACCCGCGGCAGGUCCUCUCGAAGCCGCGCCACCCGCGGCCGAUUCACCAGAAGCCGCGCCACCAGUGGCCGGUCCUCUCGAAGCCGCGCCACCCGCGGCCGAUUCACCCGAAGCCGCGCCACCCGUGGUCGGUCCUCUCGAAGCCGCGCCACCCGCAGCCGAUCCGCCCGAAGCCGCUCCACCCGCGACCAAUUCGUCGAUGCGCAUGCCGAGCCGCCGCCCAUGACUCUGUUCGUGAUCUCGGCCGAUCCGUCGACGCCCGCGCGCCGUCGUCGACUUUGAUGGCUCGAACCCGAGGAGUUCCCUCUGAUGCCGCGUCGCUCCACCUCGAAGGCCGCAGCCCCGUUGAUGCCGCGCCGCUGUCGUGGCCCUUCACCGCUGCAGAGCGCCGCCGUCACGGCCCUCCUCCGUCGCGGUCUCAGAUCCGCGGCUCCACUAUCGGGUCACAGCCCCAGCGGAGCUCCGGCAUCAGCAAAGCCCGCCAUCUGCUCGACGGCGAUCCUGAGAGAGAGAGCGGUGCUCUCCUCUCAAACGGGUUCCGCCCGCCAAGUGCUUGAUGUGCCCGGAGUCCGCCCACCAACCGCUCGACGGCGAUCCUGAGAGAGAGAGCGGUGCUCUCCUCUCAAACGGGUUCCGCCCGCCAAGUGCUCGAUGUGCCCGGAGUCUGCCCACCAACCGCUCGACGGCGAAUCUGAGAGAGAGAGCGGUGCUCUCUUCUCAAACAACGGCAAAUUCGAGAGAGAGAGAGAGAGAGAGCAGUGCUCUCCUCUCAAAUGAAGUUAGAUCCGCUCGCCAAGUGCCCGACGGCGAAAUUGAGAGAGAGAGCAAUGCUCUCCUCUCAAAUGAAGUCAAGUCCGCCAACCGCUCCGACGACGAAUCCAAGAGAGAGAGCGGUGCUCUCCUCUUAAACAAAGUUCGCCCGCUAAUUGCUCGGUGGCGAAUCAUAAAGAGAGCGAUGCUCUCAUUUACCGACCAAUCAUUCGACGAAAUACUUCGUCGUCGACGUGCUAAUCAAACCGCUCGAUGGAAUGCCGAGAUGAACAUCGAUGGUGCUUUUUGCAAAAUAUCACCAAAAAGAGAGAUCACUCUAAAAGAGAGAGAGAGCUUUGACAAAAUCACAUUAGACACUUCAAAUUAAAUUGAAAUUUAAUUUGUUAUUUGAUCAAAAUAAAACCUCGAGACAUGAAUCUAGGCCCGAUCAUAUGGACCUAAGUCAUUGAACCUCAACCCAUCCGUAUUAAAUCAACACUUUGACUCUAAACCCAUUUAACCCAAUCUAAUCUAAACCCAUUAACCUUAACCUCAUCUAAAAUCCAUUAACUGUUACCCAUAACCCAAUCCUAUAACCCAAUCCAAUUAAACCUUAGCCCAAUUCUAAACCCAUAACCUAUAACCCAAUCCAAUUAAAUCUAGGCCUAGUCCAAAGCCCAGAGCCCAUUUACAAAUGGCCCCGGUCCAAAACCCAUUCGGGCCCACUAUCUAAGCCCAUUAUCCAAAACUCAUUAAAACCAUUAACCCAUAAACCCAUAUACAUAAACCUAUAUACAUUUACCCAUGAACCCAUACACAUUUAACCCAUAUCCAAGCCCAUAACCUUAACCAAGUCCAUGAACUUUGAACCAAAACCAUGGACCAAACCAUACACCAAAUCCUGUGGACCAUACCAUACACCAAAUCCACGAACUAUGAAUCAAGUUCAUGAAUCAAAUCAAGUUCAUGAGCCAUGGAUCAUAAACCACAAACCAUACACCAAGUUCAUGAACCAUAAACCCAUGAACCAUAAGUCCAUGAACCAUAAACCCAUGAACCAUAAGUCCAUGAACCAUAAACCCAUGAACCAUAAGUUCAUGAACCAUAAACCCAUGAACCAUAUCUAAGUUCAUGAACCAUAAUCCCAUAUACCCAAUACCAUAAACCUUGUGAACCAAACCCAAUCAAUCGACCGAAACGUCGUUAAACUAAUCCACCAAAUCAAUCGACCGAAACGUCGUUAAACUAAACCUAAAUCCGAUAUCGACCGAAAUGUCGUUAAACUAAACUCAAGUUCAAUUUUCACGAACAUCCCAAUUCCCAAAAUAUUCGAUUCUCUAGCAUAUAAAACUAGAGUCAAAUCACAAUUAUGUUCAAACUUGAUCAAAUUCUAAACCUAUAUUUAGAAUUGAUCAAACCAUCUGAUCAAAUUAAUUUGUUGGAUUCCAAUACAUACAUUUGGAGUUUAAUUUAAAUCAAAUCUGACUAAUCCUAAUACAUAUAAUUAGGAUUUAGUUAAUAUUUCACCUUGAGAUGAACCAAAAUCAAAUGUGACUAAGCUCUAAUACAUAAACUUAGAGACUAAUUGUAUCAGACUCUAAAAUAUAAAAUUAGAGUCUAAUUCAAGAUAUUUGGGGCUAAUCCUAAUACAUAUAUUUAGGAUGAAAGCUCAAAUCAAACUCUAUUGGACUUUAUUACAUAUAUUUUUAAAGUUCAAUUAACCAAAUCAACUUCUAAUACAUAUAAUUAGAGUUUAAUCAAGUUCGAUUAAAUUCCAAUGCAUAUAUAUGGGAUUUAAUCAAUCUUUCAUCUCAUGGUAAACAAAGUUGAGCUCCAAAAUAUAUAGAGCUCAACAAAAUCUGAUCAUCUAUUGGACUUUAUUACAUAUAUUUAAAGUUCAAUUAACCAAAUCAAACUCUAAUACAUAUAAUUAGAGUUUAAUCUGAAUUAAAUCUGAUUAAAUUCCAAUACAUAUAUAUAUGGAAUUUAAUCAAUCUUUCAUCUUAGGGUGAAUAGUGUUGAGCUCCACAACAUAUAGAGUCCAACAAAAUUAAUUUGACCAUAUAUUGGGUAUCUUAGAAUAUAUAACUAAGAUACAAUUGAAAAAUACAUUUUCUUUACGCUCUAUUCAUGUACACUGAGGGUAUGCCCUUGGUUAAAGCCAUGUAAUUGAGCAAUAAAUUGUAAAUUUUCUUUUGUCCAAUUCUAUUUUAUCUUCAGCAUUUCAGAGGUCUCUUAAUCGAAGGUGCCCUAAUAUUCUAUAGGGGUAAUUAACAAUAGACGCUUGCGUUUAUUGGAAGCCAUGGAUCCGCAAUACCUGAUAACCAUACAUACACAUAUUUUAAUCUACAUCAUGAAUACUACCCCACGGGAGAACCAAAAGAUAAAAAUUUCCCGUGCGAGGUGCGUCAUUCGUGGUGGCAGACAAAAUGGCACGCCCGGUGGGACUCGGCUUCUCCUUCCAUCUUUGAGACCGAUGAUAUGCUAAUAGAAUUGGACGGUAAAUAUUUAAUCUACACUCGUUAUUCCCCUGCAGGAGAAAUGGCACCUAAGAACACUGCUGCGGGCUCGAUGACGAUCAAGGCUGGUCAGGUUUCCCUGCCAGCAUCCAUCCUCACUUUCGGAGCUGCCGGUGCUACAAUCCAAUUCGGCACCAUCCCGGAAGAGGCUAGGGCUGCUGCUAUGGCCCCUUUCACUGCUGCUACCAGCACCGACAUCGUUAAGACUGUGGUUCCCCGCCUUCUCUCUCGCGGAAGGCGCCCGAAUGUCGUCAUCCCCAACCCUCCUCGCGUUCCAAUGAAGGAGAGGAUGACUCUUAACGCCUCUCGUGUCCCUGUGAGGGAGAGGAUCACGCCUAUCAGUGCUUCAAAGAGAAUGGAGCUACAAGGUAGGCUAGUGUUCCAAAAUCGAAGUGAGGGAACAUCGCCACUUGAUAUGGCGCCUAAAGCGUCAGUCUUCAAUAGGUUGACGAUCCCCAAGAAUGCUGUGUCUCCUAUGACAAAGGCAUUCAAAAGAAAUCUUCGCCGUACUUUGAAGCGGCAAGAGAUGAACAAGGAACAGAAGUCUCGACAAACCCAACUUACUAGGUUUGUCGCUGGACCUGAUGUUUUGGUCCAUAACCGAUAUGCACCCCUGAGGUUUGUGAGGAAAAACUCACCUACGACCGUUCUGUGCCCAGAGUCAGAAAUGGCCCACUUAAAGCCUUCCCCUGCAUGUUCUCGUUCGAGAAACAAUAACGAGAACCCUGUCUGCAAGCGGAUAUAUAAAGCCUUUAAGGCUGCAAAGGGAAGGAUAAACAUAGAGAAGAAGAUUGAGAAGCCAAAAUGGCAGCGAAGGUCGACGCUAUCCCAUGAAGAGAGAAAAACAGAAUGGAAGCCCAAAACUCUUACUCAAAUCAAAGAAGAAAAAUCUAAAAAUUUGGAGAUUCAUACUGUGAGAGUUAUAGGGCGUGUGCCCUCAAGUGAGGCUGUUAACGAAGAAGAAACAAUUCAACAAAUGCUUACCAGAGCUGCUGCAAGAAAAGCAGCAGAAGAGAAGGCGAGAGCUAAAGAAACAAGCUCUUUGCAAAACGCUGGGAAUAAAGAUGACUUACCUGGUGAUCUAUCUGAUCCACGGGAGGAAGAAGAGGUUGUAUUCUUCCCUAGGGAUCCAAAGGAUGCUAUAAUCGCAUCCUUGAAAAAGAAAGUUGAUGAAAAAGAUAGAGAUAUUAUAAAUCUCUAUAAGAAAAUAGAGGAGGUUAUGGGUUUGAUGAUGAAUGUACAGAAACAGUUGGAGAAUCAACGGCAUCAAACCAAGACUCCAGCUCGGACAGAAGCACCCGCACCCCAAGUCAUUAAUGAACAGGCUAAAACAACUGUUCCUAAAGAGACUACCUCUUUGACUAAAGAAGAGAUUCAUGAUUUGAUCACUUCUUAAGUUAAAGAAACGGUAGCGGGGGCAAACCCAAAACCAAAAGGGAAAGGACAUCCUUAUCUAUCAGAAUAUGAUAAUAUACCUUUUCCAGACGGGUAUCAAGUCCCUAAGUUCAAAAUGUUCUAUGGUGUUGGUAACCCUGAUCAGCACCUAGCACAUUUUAAGGCCAUGUGUGGAAAUACCGGGAGUAACGGGCCUCUACUCUUACGACAAUUUCCACAAAGCUUAUCGGGUAUAGCCUUUGAAUGGUACUACUCCCUCGAGGAUGAGUCCAUUAAAACUUGGCCCGACAUGGAAGAAGCUUUCAAAGCAAAAUUCGCCACUGCUAGCGAUAAGAUUACUAUCGCUGAUCUGGUAGCCACCAGACGAAGGAAAGAUGAAACGAUGUUAGAUUACAUCACACGGUGGCGAAACUUAAGUAUAAGGUGUGAACAACCUCUAGAUCAGACCCAGGCCGUUGGUCUUGUUAUGGGCAACAUUGAUAAUUGGAUGGCCCCAUUUCUUUGCACAUCUAGUUGUUCCACCUUUCAUGAAUUAAUAUCAAACGUCUCUAGGUUGGAGAGAACUGAUCCCCAAGUUUAAUAAAUGUACAAAAGACAAAAAGGGAUGAUAAUAAAAGAGUUGAGGCAAAGAUGGCACAGGCUAGACCGGCCCGCACGAACAUGAUAGAAAAAGGUAAAAGGGCAAUUACCUCUGCAGUUGAACAGACCCCUGUAAAGCCUAUGUUUGGGGGCAAUAAUCCAAAAGCACUUUCUCUGGAAGAGUGAAGAAAUAAAGUGUACCCUUUCAAACGGGAAAAAGUUAAGAAAAUAUUUAACGAUGCUGUUAAAAAUGGUCUUCAACUGCCCGAGCCAAGGAAGCCGGAGGUGUGGAAAAACUGAUAAUCCAAAAUACUGCCCAUAUCAUAGGCUAAUUAGCCAUCCAAUUGAAGAUUGCUGGGUUUUCAAAGACUGGAUUGAAAAACAAUAUAAAACCGACGCAAUUACCCUUUCACAGUCGGUAUUAUCAGAAACGCCAGUCGAACAGACCAAUAUGAUUGGUGUGGGUGCGGAAAAUAUAGAAGGAAUUGAAAAUGCAUUUUCCCCCGAGUUUUGGAAUAUAUUCUUAUCUAAGAAAACUCGAAAAAUGUUAAAAUAUUUAAAAGAGGUUCCAGGGAUAAAGUGGCGAGGCCCUUUAAACCCGGAAGUGCAGUCUGAGGAUAAGCCCAUGCCUUCAGUCAAAAAAUCUAAUACUCCAGCCAAGUCGAGGCGCAGAAUAGCUCGGGCGAAAAAGAAUAAGAAAUUCGUUGAGCCAGCUGAGCCACAGCAUAAAAAACGGCCUAUUGAGGAACAUAUUGACUCAAUGGAAGAAUAUAAACAGGCUGAAAGGGAUCCUCUUCUGAUUCAUGAUUUUAUUUCCAAAGCAAUAGAAGAGGCUAAGAAAAAGAAAAACUCUGAUGAAGGAAAAAUUCCUGUUGAGGAAUGUAAAGAAACAGAAGAGCCUUUUUGGGGAGAGGCUUGCAGAGUUAUCACCACGCGACGCGACGAUGAAGAAACUUUUCCUUCUGGCCGCGUUAGAGAACAAGAAAGGAAUCUCAGAGAAAUUCAUAGCCAAUUGGCUGAGAUAAAAGAAAUGACACGUUGCAGCUUUCACAGGGUAAAUGAUAAUAUAUUGGAUAUGAAAGCAUGCUUGAAUGUAAUGUUCUCUAUGAUGAUUGGGAUCGAAGCCAGAGUGGAACAAUUAAUGAAAAUUACUCCUCUCCCUCAGCAGACUCAGUCACAAAACCACAGAGAACGGGAGAUCGAGCCGUUGCCAAGGCUUACAAAUCGAUCUUCAAAUCAGCAUUCACCCAAUACUUUUCGAAGUGAUAAAGGAAAAACCCCUCUUAUAGAAACUAAAAAUAUGGGUGGGGAAUGUCCGAGAACGGCACUGACAGAAAGAAGGAAUUCUCAGUAUUCUAACGGCGAAAGUACACCCAUGUAUUGUCCUUUUCAUGAAGUGAAAGGACAUAACCUAGAAAACUGUUACGCUUUUCAACAUAUGAGAAAAUCAAGAAAGCAGUUUUCUCAAAGGACAAAUAUCAAGCAAAAUACCAGAAGCACAAGCCACGAGAAAAAUAAGGACAAGACUAUUCCUUACACACGGGAGUCAUGCCGUGUGAUUACAAUAUCUGAUGACGUGUCAGAUGACGUGUCAGAAAGCCCUGCGCCGACCCUGGGGGCAAAUCAACAGACCUCCACACCAAACGAUGAUACUUAUGUUGAUCCUUUGGAAUUAUAUGACACUUCAACUUAUAAUGAUCCAAUGAAUAAGUUGUAUAGAAUGGAGUGUCGCUUAAUCAGAAUGGAGGGAGAAAUGAGGGGGCUGCACAAUGAUAUUAACUUCAUAAAGAUGAAUAUGAACAGUAUGACUGGCGAUAUAAAGGGCAUAGAUAUUCAAAUGAGAACUAUAAUAGAUAUGCUCAAGACAGAUGCUACUGAAGCAUCAAAAAGAUGUCGGGUUGAGACAUGCCGAGUCAUAACUGUGCAAGUUGAUUCGGAGCAAUUAAAGUCAACAAAAGCCGAAUACGACGCAAAUUUCUAUGAAGCACACAUAAUUGCUCAAGAAAUUAAAAGAAUGUCGGUGAGAGGAAAUGCAGGGUCAUCUUCGCUGAAAAAGAAGAAGAAACCAACUCUAAGCCAGCAGUCAGAGGCUCGCCAGAAUAAUGAACCUCUAAUUAAGGAAGGGAAAAAGAAAGUUAUAUCGACAGAGUUCUGUUCCUAUCACAAUAUAUGGGGGCACACCCUAGAAAAUUGUCGCCAAUGAAAAAAGAUGCAGAAUCUAACUGUUGACAAGGCGAAGCUAAAGGUCGAUCAACCGACGGUUGCCGGGUCCAAAAGUCAACGAUGGAAGAGACAUCUGCCACGAUUUGAGAAACAACAACCCAUUACUCUGGAAGAAUUCAGAAAAGCAUGCUAUGAUGCUUUCGAUGAUAUGAAACCGCGUUGUUGUUGGUGUAGAGCGAGAGGUCAUGCUUAUGAUGUAUGCGUGAAACUUCGAGACCAUAGAAAAAACAAAUCACAGCUCAAAGAGUCGUGUCGAGUAAUAACAAUCUCUGAAGAGCAAUCUGACGACUCUGUAAAUCAAGAGAAUAGGGUCAGGCAAUCUGCUGGUGCACGUGAAGAUGAUGAUACCGCGUGGCUAGCAUACAAUACCCCGAGCAGGGAUUAUGGUGCAAGGAGAAUGGAAUAUCGUCUUCUUGAGAUUGACAAUGAUUUGAGGAGAGUGCAGAUUGAUGUACGCUCUCUAGCAACAAACAUAGAUUGUGUGGCCAUGGCGGUAAAAAGCAUGAAGGAACAAUUGAAAGAGAUCCUCAACCAGUUGAAUACUCUUGAAAAGACUAGAGUCGAAACAUGCCAAACUGUUACUUAUGGUACUGACUCUAAUACUAAGCAAGAUAAAGAAGCUGAGGAUUCUUUGCAAAUCACGCUGAAAUCCGGAAAAGUAUUACCAGAAAGACAAGGACAUCCCCAAAAUCUUAAAGAUAAAGAAAUUCGGAUAAAUGAAGAGGCACCGACUUCAUCAAGUCAAGGGAGAUUAUCAAAGGCUGACUAUAACAUACUUUCCCAUUUAAGAAAAGUGCCUGCUUUGCUGAGUGUUUAUGACGCUCUGAUGAUGUCCAAAGAACUUCGGUGUAACACACUGGACCUUUGCAAAUUGCGAGGUUCGAGUGUUUGGAUGUAUUUCGAGCUUUUCCACACUUGGUGAAGGGUUGUAGAAUAUUUUCCGACCUAAAAAGUUCGAAAAUCGGGAUUCUGGAUAAGUCCUGAGAGUUUUUACUCUCGGGGACCGGUCCCUGGAAGGAGAGACCGGUCCCCCAGUGAGCAGUGUUGAGGCAGCCUGAGGCAACCGGUCCCUGGCAGGCGAGACCGGUCCCCGAGCGCAUCUUCGCAGUCAGAGACCGGUCCCGCCCAGGGAGAGACCGGUUCCCGAAUGCUGGUUUUUCGGGUUCGCAGCGAGAGACCGGUCCCUGCUGGGGAGAGACCGGUCCCUCUGGGCGAAAACUGCCCAGUUCGGACUGAUGCAAAUUUGAAUUUUUGAGGGGCCUCUCCGGAUUUUGUUACACUAGUUGGGCUUAUUAGCCAUUUCCUCCUCUUCCCUCUCUCAUUUUCUCAUUCUCACCCUCUCCCUACACUAUCUAGAGAGAGAAGAAGAAGAAGAAGGAGCAGAAGAAGAAGAGGAGCUAGCUUGAGGGAGCUUGGAGCUCAACCCCUUUCUCUCUUUUCCACCUUUGCAAGGCUUGGAGCUUGCUUAUAGAGCUUAGUGGUGGACCAAACUUCAACCCUAGGGCAUUUUGGGCUUGGAUUGAAGCUUCCAAAGGGUUAGUAUCAUGUUUCCCUCCUCUAGAUUCUUAUUUUAGUGAUUUUUGGGAGAUGAAACCUUAGAAAUGAGAUUUAGGGUUGAUUUUAGGGCUUUUUGAUCUAGGGCCUUUGAGGCUAGAUUAAUUGGUUUAGAACCUUCCUAGGGCUUGGAUUGGAAUGGUUCUAGCUCUCUUUUGGAGCUUUGGGAGAGAUUUCUACUCUUGAGAUUAGUUUUGGCCCUUUUUGCUUCUAGGUUAAUGUUUGAUAUUAUAAGAUGGUCGUAAUGCCCUCGUAUCUCUUCGCUGAUUACUUUUAGGGUAUUUUGAGACUCGGGGACAACUUUGUUCGGCGGAACGAGGCCCUACGCGACGGUUCGGUGGGUUUGACCUAGCCACACAAUGAGAAAUUCUCCUUUGUGCUUAAUUAAGUAUCGUUAAAUGAAAAAGCAUGCAUAUUCUUGUUAUAUGUAUUUAUUGUGAAUUUUAGAAUGCUUAAAAGGCCUAUGUUGUAUAUGAUGAAAUUUUGGACCUCUAUGGAGUAGAGAGUAGCUUGGUAGGCCUAUGGUUGCAUUUAGCGUUCUAUAUGAGACUUGAUUUCAUGCUUCUAUAGUGUACAUGAGUUUUGAUUCAUGCAU
Molecule: long non-coding RNA, 11965 nt
Filed under: Ananas comosus (pineapple)
Lineage: Eukaryota; Viridiplantae; Streptophyta; Magnoliopsida; Poales; Bromeliaceae
Description: long non-coding RNA (ACOM_LNC007126)
Source: RNAcentral